Non-coding RNA from Triticum aestivum (bread wheat), 135 nucleotides. Lineage: Eukaryota; Viridiplantae; Streptophyta; Magnoliopsida; Poales; Poaceae. The record is from Rfam.
AAAGUACUCCCUCUGUACCAAAUUUUUUGUCUUAUAUUUGUCUAGAUACGGAUGUAUCUAACACUAAAAUGUAACUAGAUACAUCCUUAUUUAGACAAAUUUAAGACAAGAAUUUUGGGAAGGAGGGGGUAUAAA